Molecule: long non-coding RNA, 705 nt
Filed under: Capsicum annuum
Lineage: Eukaryota; Viridiplantae; Streptophyta; Magnoliopsida; Solanales; Solanaceae
Description: long non-coding RNA (CANN_LNC005048)
Source: RNAcentral
GUGCCUGGUUCUCCUACUCUCUCUAAGUUAAACCCCAUUUUUGCCCAACUGUGUGAUAAAUAAAGAUUAGUGAAAAGGUCCGAUAUUUAUAGCAGUGAAAAUUGGGAAGUUAAAAGUUUACUGUUGCUUUCAUAUGAUCCCAAGGAAAGCUCAGUUAGUGCUGAAGAGCAAACAGUUGGUAAAAAGAAUAAUAUGACUAAGGAUGGAGAUAUUGUGCUACCUUCAAAUAAGGAGGAUGAAGAAGAUGAGGAUAAACCACCUCUAAGGUGGUCUAUGAAGAGACAAAGUGAAAGUAAAGGGAAAGAAAAGAUUGUUGAUUCCAGUAUAAAAGUUACUAGAUCGUAUUCUACUAGGAGGUCUGAAAUAAAGUUAUUAGUUGAUGCUAUGAAUUCCAGAAAGUCUGCUACUCCUAAAGAAAAAGACUCAAGAAAUUUGUUGUAGUAGGGGAGGAGAAUGUUAAAGUUGUAGAGGUUAGAAAAGAUGAGAACAUUGAUACUGAUGUUGCUGUAGCAACGGAGAAAAAAAGAAAAGAAAUUUAUGUUUCAAGAAGGACCAGGUCCUCCCACUCAAAGUCUAGUAUCCAUGUAGGAAUGAAGCAGAAACAUAUUAUUGUGAAAAAAAAAAAAGUCUCUGAGGGACUUGGUCCCAAGAAGAGAAAAGUUGUUGAAAAAAAGGAGCCAAGUAGUGAUUUCAAAAGAAGAAGAA